CCAAUAGCGUAUAUUAAAGUUGUUGCAGUUAAAAAGCUCGUAGUUGAAUUUCGGGGUUAGUAGGUUGGUCAUGCCUCUGGUAUGUACUGGUCUCACUGAUUCCUCCUUCCUGACGAACCGUAAUGCCAUUAAUUUGGUGUUGCGGGAAAUUUGGACUGUUACUUUGAAAAAAUUAGAGUGUUUAAAGCAAGCUAACGCUUGAAUACAUUAGCAUGGAAUAAUGAAAUAGGACGUUCGAUCCUAUUUUGUUGGUUUCUAGGAUUGACGUAAUGAUUAAUAGGGAUAGUUGGGGGCAUUAGUAUUCAAUUGUCAGAGGUGAAAUUCUUGGAUUUAUUGAAGACUAACUACUGCGAAAGCAUUUGCCAAGGAUGUUUUCAUUAAUCAAGAACGAAAGUUAGGGGAUCGAAGACGAUCAGAUACCGUCGUAGUCUUAACCAUAAACUAUGCCGACUAGGGAUCGGAUGAUGUUAAUUUUUUAAUGACUCAUUCGGCGCCUUACG
Molecule: ribosomal RNA, 500 nt
Filed under: uncultured Glomeromycotina
Lineage: Eukaryota; Fungi; Glomeromycota
Description: partial small subunit ribosomal RNA
Rfam family: Eukaryotic small subunit ribosomal RNA
Source: RNAcentral